This 928-nucleotide ribosomal RNA is filed under the name Microbacterium maritypicum. RNAcentral describes it as "bacterial SSU rRNA". It matches the Rfam family "Bacterial small subunit ribosomal RNA", at positions 34 to 971 of the family's 1533-position model. Lineage: Bacteria; Bacillati; Actinomycetota; Actinomycetes; Micrococcales; Microbacteriaceae. The record is from RNAcentral.
CGCUGGCGGCGUGCUUAACACAUGCAAGUCGAACGGUGAACACGGAGCUUGCUCUGUGGGAUCAGUGGCGAACGGGUGAGUAACACGUGAGCAACCUGCCCCUGACUCUGGGAUAAGCGCUGGAAACGGCGUCUAAUACUGGAUAUGUGACGUGACCGCAUGGUCUGCGUCUGGAAAGAAUUUCGGUUGGGGAUGGGCUCGCGGCCUAUCAGCUUGUUGGUGAGGUAAUGGCUCACCAAGGCGUCGACGGGUAGCCGGCCUGAGAGGGUGACCGGCCACACUGGGACUGAGACACGGCCCAGACUCCUACGGGAGGCAGCAGUGGGGAAUAUUGCACAAUGGGCGCAAGCCUGAUGCAGCAACGCCGCGUGAGGGACGACGGCCUUCGGGUUGUAAACCUCUUUUAGCAGGGAAGAAGCGAAAGUGACGGUACCUGCAGAAAAAGCGCCGGCUAACUACGUGCCAGCAGCCGCGGUAAUACGUAGGGCGCAAGCGUUAUCCGGAAUUAUUGGGCGUAAAGAGCUCGUAGGCGGUUUGUCGCGUCUGCUGUGAAAUCCGGAGGCUCAACCUCCGGCCUGCAGUGGGUACGGGCAGACUAGAGUGCGGUAGGGGAGAUUGGAAUUCCUGGUGUAGCGGUGGAAUGCGCAGAUAUCAGGAGGAACACCGAUGGCGAAGGCAGAUCUCUGGGCCGUAACUGACGCUGAGGAGCGAAAGGGUGGGGAGCAAACAGGCUUAGAUACCCUGGUAGUCCACCCCGUAAACGUUGGGAACUAGUUGUGGGGUCCAUUCCACGGAUUCCGUGACGCAGCUAACGCAUUAAGUUCCCCGCCUGGGGAGUACGGCCGCAAGGCUAAAACUCAAAGGAAUUGACGGGGACCCGCACAAGCGGCGGAGCAUGCGGAUUAAUUCGAUGCAACGCGAAGAACCU